CUACGGGGUGCUCCAGUGAGGAAUAUUGGUCAAUGGGCGAGAGCCUGAACCAGCCAUCCCGCGUGCAGGAUGACGGCCCUAUGGGUUGUAAACUGCUUUUCCAUACCAAGAAACCUGAUUACGGGUAAUUAGUUGCCGGUAGUAUGGGAAUAAGCAUCGGCUAACUCCGUGCCAGCAGCCGCGGUAAUACGGAGGAUGCAAGCGUUAUCCGGAUUCAUUGGGUUUAAAGGGUGCGCAGGUGGGCUUGUAAGUCAGUGGUGAAAUGUUGCCGCUUAACGGUAAAAUUGCCAUUGAUACUGCAAGUCUUGAAUAUAGUUGAGGUAGGCGGAAUGUGUUGUGUAGCGGUGAAAUGCAUAGAUAUGACACAGAACACCGAUUGCGAAGGCAGCUUACUAAGCUAUUAUUGACGCUGAGGCACGAAAGCGUGGGGAUCGAACAGGAUUAGAUACCCUUGUAGUC
Molecule: ribosomal RNA, 459 nt
Filed under: uncultured bacterium
Lineage: Bacteria
Description: partial 16S ribosomal RNA
Rfam family: Bacterial small subunit ribosomal RNA
Source: RNAcentral